GAUGAACGCUGGCGGCGUGCUUAACACAUGCAAGUCGAACGGAAAGGCCCUGCUUUGGUGGGGUGCUCGAGUGGCGAACGGGUGAGUAACACGUGAGUGAUCUGCCCUGGACUUUGGGAUAACUCCGGGAAACUGGGGCUAAUACCGGAUAGGACCACCUGUUGCAUGCCGUUGGGUAAAAAUUUUCCGGGGUGGGAUGAUGGACUCGGCCUUUAUCCUUGUGGGGGGGGGAAUGGGCUUUACCGGCGUUUACAGGGAUACCCCCUCAGAGAGGGUGACCGCACAUUUUGACUAAGAUAUGCGCCCCACACUUCCUACGAGGAAGCACAGGGGAAUAUUUUGCAAUAUGCGCAAGAACUGCUGAUGCAGACACCCCGCGUGCGAUGACACCCUCUUCGUUGUUGAACUCCUUUCUCUCCUGACGAAAAGCUUGUGUGACGGUACUGGGAAAAGAAGCACCGGCUAACUACGUGCCAGCAGCCGCGGUAAUACGUAGGGUGCGAGCGUUGUCCGGAUUUACUGGGCGUAAAGAGCUCGUAGGUGGUUGAUCGCGUCGGAUGUGUAAUCUCGCGGCUUACUGCUGAGACUGCAGGCGAUACGGGCAUAACUUGAGUGCUUUAGGGGAGACUGGAAUUCCUGGUGUAGCGGUGGAAUGCGCAGAUAUCAGGAGGAACACCGAUGGCGAAGGCAGGUCUCUGGGCAGUAACUGACGCUGAGGAGCGAAAGCAUGGGUAGCGAACAGGAUUAGAUACCCUGGUAGUCCAUGCCGUAAACGGUGGGCGCUAGGUGUGAGUCCCUUCCACGGGGUUCGUGCCGUAGCUAACGCAUUAAGCGCCCCGCCUGGGGAGUACGGCCGCAAGGCUAAAACUCAAAGGAAUUGACGGGGGCCCGCACAAGCGGCGGAGCAUGUGGAUUAAUUCGAUGCAACGCGAAGAACCUUACCUGGGCUUGACAUACACCAGAUCGCCGUAGAGAUACGGUUUCCCUUUGUGGUUGGUGUACAGGUGGUGCAUGGUUGUCGUCAGCUCGUGUCGUGAGAUGUUGGGUUAAGUCCCGCAACGAGCGCAACCCUUGUCUUAUGUUGCCAGCACGUGAUGGUGGGGACUCGUGAGAGACUGCCGGGGUUAACUCGGAGGAAGAAGGGGAUGACGUCAAAUCAUCAUGCCCCUUAUGUCCAGCGCUUCACACAUGCUACAAUGGUCGGUACAACGCGCAUGCGAGCCUGUGAGGGUGAGAGAAUCGCUGUGAAAGCCGGUCUCAGUUCGGAUUGGGGUCUGCAACUCGACCCCAUGAAGUCGGAGUCGCUAGUAAUCGCAGAUCAGCAACGCUGCGGUGAAUACGUUCCCGGGCCU
This 1352-nucleotide ribosomal RNA is filed under the name uncultured bacterium. RNAcentral's name for it is "partial 16S ribosomal RNA". It matches the Rfam family "Bacterial small subunit ribosomal RNA", at positions 28 to 1381 of the family's 1533-position model. The record is from RNAcentral.